RNAcentral lists this small nuclear RNA (324 nucleotides) under Camelus bactrianus (Bactrian camel). RNAcentral's name for it is "7SK RNA". It matches the Rfam family "7SK RNA". Rfam says of the family: 7SK was discovered as an abundant small nuclear RNA in the mid-70s but a possible function has only recently been suggested. Lineage: Eukaryota; Metazoa; Chordata; Mammalia; Artiodactyla; Camelidae. RNAcentral also lists the same sequence under 1 other name. The record is from Rfam by way of RNAcentral.
GGAUGUGAGGGCGAUCUGGCUGCAACAAAUACCCCUGAUUCAGCUGAUGUGGGUGGCUAGGUGGGUGCCGCCUUCCUCCUGUGCGUCCCUCCCGAAGCUGCACACUCUGUCGAAGAAGACGAUCUUCCUCAGUAGAGGAGGAUCGUUCUUCUCCAUCAAGGGUACAUGAGGAACUGCGCUCCCCUGCUAGAACCUCCAAACGAGCUUUCGAGAGCUUGUGGUACAAGAAAAAUGCUUGCUCUGAUAUUAUCAUAGAAGACAGAUGAAAGGACAGAGAUUAGGAAGUAAACACAAACGUACACAAUUGUAAUGUAUUGCACUUGU